Molecule: ribosomal RNA, 245 nt
Filed under: uncultured Telluria sp.
Lineage: Bacteria; Pseudomonadati; Pseudomonadota; Betaproteobacteria; Burkholderiales; Oxalobacteraceae
Description: partial 16S ribosomal RNA
Rfam family: Bacterial small subunit ribosomal RNA
Source: RNAcentral
UACAGAGGGGGCGAGCGUUAUUCGGAAUUACUGGGCGUAAAGCGUGCGUAGGCGGUCCCGCAAGUCCGCUGUGAAAGCCCCGGGCUUAACCUGGGAAUUGCAGUGGAAACUAUGGGACUUGAAUCCGGCAGAGGGGGGUGGAAUGCCACGUGUAGCAGUGAAAUGCGUAGAUAUGUGGCGGAACACCGAUGGCGAAGGCAGCCCCCUGGGCCGAGAUUGACGCUCAGGCACGAAAGCGUGGGGAG